GGAGUUGUGGCUCAGGGGUAGAGCGCUCAUCUAGCACAUGCGAGAUGGUGGGUUCAAUCCUCAGCACCA
RNAcentral lists this transfer RNA (69 nucleotides) under Marmota monax (woodchuck). RNAcentral's name for it is "tRNA.Ala". The record is from RNAcentral. Lineage: Eukaryota; Metazoa; Chordata; Mammalia; Rodentia; Sciuridae.